CUUAUCCAGAGCGGCUGAGGGACUGGCCCGAUGAAGCCCGGCAACCGGCGGAAACGCAAGGUGCUAAUUCCAGCAGCACGGUUUCGUGCUGGCAGAUAAGG
RNAcentral lists this non-coding RNA (101 nucleotides) under human gut metagenome. Its description in RNAcentral is "SAM riboswitch (S box leader)". It matches the Rfam family "SAM riboswitch aptamer (S box leader)". From Rfam's summary of the family: The SAM riboswitch is found upstream of a number of genes which code for proteins involved in methionine or cysteine biosynthesis in Gram-positive bacteria. The SAM riboswitch acts at the level of transcription termination control. The record is from RNAcentral.